Long non-coding RNA from Homo sapiens (human), 775 nucleotides. Ensembl annotates it as DIO3 opposite strand upstream RNA. Its record names the gene DIO3OS. Lineage: Eukaryota; Metazoa; Chordata; Mammalia; Primates; Hominidae. The record is from Ensembl.
CCCUCUCGCCGCUUGCCUCGCCCAGCGCAGCCCCGGCCGCUGGGCGCACCCGUCCCGUUCGUCCCCGGACGUUGCUCUCUACCCCGGGAACGUCGAGACUGGAGCGCCCGAACUGAGCCACCUUCGCGGACCCCGAGAGCGGCGGCGCGACUCACCGCGGAGGCGCCCGGACGCGUCAAAAUACACUCCACACCUCGGGACUCCAUAAUAUUGGACAAGGCUGGAAGGCCCAUUUGGCUCCUGCAGCCUCUUAUGCAGGAGGACCUCCUGAGGCUUCGGGCAGGAGCUGGUGCACACCUGGAGGAGAGUGCUGGUGAAUGGCAGGUGUGUGCCUCAGUGUCCUUGCUGCCAGGGUGUCAGCCCUGCUUCACCACUGGCCGUUUGUCUCUGUCCCCUCCACUGGCCUCUUGAAGCACAGAGACCCUCCGGGUACUUUCCUUCCUCUGGGCUUCCACUCAUGCUAUUCCCUGCUCCCUUUUUCUACCUGGAGACCCCCAUUCCUCCUCCUCCUCUGCUGCCCUCACCUCCACCUGGGCCCUCCCAGCUCCCGGGAGAUGGCUGAACCCCACUCCCCACCCGCUAGUCAUCCUCUUCAGCGGUCCUCCCAGAGCUGUCCUCAGCAUGGCAGCCUCCACAGCCCCUGGGUGUCACCCCCGGUUUCGUGUCUGCCUCGGACUCCAGACCUGCCCCUCCCAGGCUGGCCCAGAUGGAUCCUCUACAGUGACUAACCCAAACCAGCACCAGGCAGGGACCCAAUAAACCUUUGUGAAUGGAG